UGCUUGCAUAGAUAUUGAAGGUCUUCAUG
RNAcentral lists this non-coding RNA (29 nucleotides) under Mus musculus (house mouse). The record is from RNAcentral. Lineage: Eukaryota; Metazoa; Chordata; Mammalia; Rodentia; Muridae.